Molecule: ribosomal RNA, 254 nt
Filed under: uncultured bacterium
Lineage: Bacteria
Description: partial 16S ribosomal RNA
Rfam family: Bacterial small subunit ribosomal RNA
Source: RNAcentral
CACGUAGGGGACGAGCGUUGUCCGGAUUUAUUGGGCGUAAAGAGCUCGUAGGUGGUUCGGUAAGUCGGAUGUGAAAUCUCCAGGCUCAACCUGGAGGGGUCAUUCGAUACUGCCGUGACUAGAGGUCGGUAGGGGAGUGUGGAAUUCCUGGUGGAGCGGUGAAAUGCGCAGAUAUCAGGAGGAACACCCGUAGCGAAGGCGGCACUCUGGGCCGAUACUGACACUGAGGAGCGAAAGCGUGGGGAGCGAACAGG